AUAUCUUUCUCGGCCUUUUGGCUAAGAUCAAGUGUAGUAUCUGUACUUAUCAGUUUAAUAUAUGAUACGUGGAUUAUUGAUCCACAUGAUAUUAAAUUUAUUUUUUAAUGGGAGGUUUCACUACAGCAGCUUGCUAUUGGAAUCCUCAUGGGUCGCCUUUGCAUUGCAAUACUGCAUAGGCUAGCGCAACCCAA
Non-coding RNA from Ricinus communis (castor bean), 194 nucleotides. NCBI's taxonomy places the organism in Eukaryota, Viridiplantae, Streptophyta, Magnoliopsida, Malpighiales, Euphorbiaceae. The record is from Rfam.